This 91-nucleotide ribosomal RNA is filed under the name Leptailurus serval (serval). RNAcentral's name for it is "partial 16S ribosomal RNA". Lineage: Eukaryota; Metazoa; Chordata; Mammalia; Carnivora; Felidae. The record is from RNAcentral.
GAACAAAACAACCUCCGAGUGAUUUAAAUUUAGACUAACCGGUCAAAAGUAUUACAUCACUUAUUGAUCCAAAAGCUUGAUCAACGGAACA